This 275-nucleotide unclassified non-coding RNA is filed under the name Celastrus tonkinensis. RNAcentral's name for it is "partial contains external transcribed spacer and 18S ribosomal RNA". Lineage: Eukaryota; Viridiplantae; Streptophyta; Magnoliopsida; Celastrales; Celastraceae. The record is from RNAcentral.
UGCCCUCUUUGGGCAUGGGAUGAACUCGUUGGUGCUUUGCAUGUUCCUUUGUAAGCCAUCGGCUCAUCUCUUGGCCCAUGCUCGGUUACCUGACCCUCGGAUGCUGAAAAUUAAGUGGGCAAGGGGUUGAGAAACCCCUCUGAUAAGCCCGAACCUAGCGCUCGUCGCUCGAACCCGAAAGACGUUGUGGCUCGCCUUGGUGUUCUUGAACCAUGGGUUCUCGUAACGGCCAUGCGUUGUCCCAAUCCUCCCGGAGAAAGCUACCUGGUUGAUCC